This 467-nucleotide ribosomal RNA is filed under the name uncultured bacterium. Its description in RNAcentral is "partial 16S ribosomal RNA". It matches the Rfam family "Bacterial small subunit ribosomal RNA", at positions 29 to 507 of the family's 1533-position model. The record is from RNAcentral.
ACGAACGCUGGCGGCGUGCUUAACACAUGCAAGUCGAACGGAAAGGCCCUGCUUUUGUGGGGUGCUCGAGUGGCGAACGGGUGAGUAACACGUGAGUAACCUGCCCUUGACUUUGGGAUAACUUCAAGAAACUGGGGCUAAUACCGGAUAGGAGCUCCUGCUGCCUGGUGGGGGUUGGAAAGUUUCGGCGGUUGGGGAUGGACUCGCGGCUUAUCAGCUUGUUGGUGGGGUAGUGGCUUACCAAGGCUUUGACGGGUAGCCGGCCUGAGAGGGUGACCGGCCACAUUGGGACUGAGAUACGGCCCAGACUCCUACGGGAGGCAGCAGUGGGGAAUAUUGCACAAUGGGCGGAAGCCUGAUGCAGCAACGCCGCGUGCGGGAUGACGGCCUUCGGGUUGUAAACCGCUUUCGCCUGUGACGAAGCGUGAGUGACGGUAAUGGGUAAAGAAGCACCGGCUAACUACGUG